GACAAGAUCUGGCCCAAACUGCGUGUACUUGCGAGAUCUUCUCCAACUGAUAAGCAUACGUUGGUCAAAGGUAUAAUUGAUAGCACCAUCAUAGAACAGAGACAAGUAGUUGCUGUCACUGGAGACGGAACCAAUGAUGGCCCUGCGCUAAAAAAAGCUGACGUUGGAUUUGCAAUGGAAUACGACUAUCACCUAUCACGGCAUAUCACCUAUCACCUAUCACGGCAUUCCUAUGUAAGCUCUAUUCAGUAUUAUUCAGCUGCUUUUUUGCUUGCUCAGGAGCAAAUUACCCUCCUCCA
Long non-coding RNA from Sinocyclocheilus rhinocerous, 299 nucleotides. RefSeq lists it as uncharacterized. Lineage: Eukaryota; Metazoa; Chordata; Actinopteri; Cypriniformes; Cyprinidae. The record is from RefSeq and is a predicted model, not a curated record. The transcript has 3 exons.